AGCCUGAACGCUGGCGGCGUGGCUAAGACAUGCAAGUCGUACGGGCGUAGCAAUACGUCAGUGGCGAACGGGUGAGUAAAGUAUCGCUAACGUACCCCUCAGUCUGGGAUAGCCGGGGGAAACUCCGGGUAAUACCAGGUGACAUUCUCUGCCUGCAUGGGCGGAGACUCAAAGGGAAACCGUUGAGGGAGCGGGCGAUAUCGUAUCAGCUAGUUGGUGAGGUAACGGCUCACCAAGGCGACGACGCGUAGCCGGGCUGAGAGGUCGGCCGGCCACAUUGGGACUGAGACACUGCCCAGACUCCUACGGGGGCUGCAGUAACGAAUCUUCCGCAAUGCACGCAAGUGUGACGGAGCGACGCCGCGUGUGGGACGAAGUCCUUCGGGAUGUAACCACUGUCAGGGUAAGAAAGUUCUGAUCUACCCAGACGGAAGGCACGGCUAACUCUGUGCCAGCACGCCGC
RNAcentral lists this ribosomal RNA (463 nucleotides) under uncultured bacterium. Its description in RNAcentral is "SSU rRNA". It matches the Rfam family "Bacterial small subunit ribosomal RNA", at positions 26 to 518 of the family's 1533-position model. The record is from RNAcentral.